AACGAACGCUGGCGGCAUGCCUAACACAUGCAAGUCGAACGAGACCUUCGGGUCUAGUGGCGCACGGGUGCGUAACGCGUGGGAACCUGCCCUUAGGUUCGGAAUAACUCCCCGAAAGGGGUGCUAAUACCGGAUAAUGUCUUCGGACCAAAGAUUUAUCGCCUUUGGAUGGGCCCGCGUUGGAUUAGCUAGUUGGUAGGGUAAAAGCCUACCAAGGCGGCGAUCCAUAGCUGGUCUGAGAGGAUGAACAGCCACACUGGGACUGAGACACGGCCCAGACUCCUACGGGAGACAGCAGUAGGGAAUAUUGGACAAUGGGCGAAAGCCUGAUCCAGCAAUGCCGCGUGAGAGAUGAAGGCCUUAGGGUUGUAAAGCUCUUUUACCCGGGAUGAUAAUGACAGUACCGGGAGAAUAAGCUCCGGCUAACUCCGUG
RNAcentral lists this ribosomal RNA (433 nucleotides) under uncultured bacterium. RNAcentral's name for it is "partial 16S ribosomal RNA". It matches the Rfam family "Bacterial small subunit ribosomal RNA", at positions 29 to 507 of the family's 1533-position model. The record is from RNAcentral.